Molecule: ribosomal RNA, 68 nt
Filed under: Clostridium botulinum
Lineage: Bacteria; Bacillati; Bacillota; Clostridia; Eubacteriales; Clostridiaceae
Description: partial 16S ribosomal RNA
Rfam family: Bacterial small subunit ribosomal RNA
Source: RNAcentral
UUUUAAAUUGAGAGUUUGAUCCUGGCUCAGGACGAACGCUGGCGGCGUGCCUAACACAUGCAAGUCGA